This 124-nucleotide ribosomal RNA is filed under the name Mediterraneibacter torques. Its description in RNAcentral is "[Ruminococcus] torques partial 23S ribosomal RNA". It matches the Rfam family "Bacterial large subunit ribosomal RNA", at positions 2804 to 2925 of the family's 2925-position model. Lineage: Bacteria; Bacillati; Bacillota; Clostridia; Lachnospirales; Lachnospiraceae. The record is from RNAcentral.
AUGAGAUAUCCCAUAACGUCAAGUUAGUAAGACCCCUUGAAGACGACGAGGUAGAUAGGGCAGAGGUGGAAGUGUGGUAACACAUGGAGCUGACUGUUACUAAUAGGUCGAGGGCAUAACCAAA